Molecule: long non-coding RNA, 417 nt
Filed under: Monodelphis domestica (gray short-tailed opossum)
Lineage: Eukaryota; Metazoa; Chordata; Mammalia; Didelphimorphia; Didelphidae
Description: lncRNA (ENSMODG00000051151.1)
Source: RNAcentral
AGAGGUAGGUGCUAUUAUCUACUCUAUUUUACAGAUAAAGAAACUGAGAUACUGAGAGAUUAAGUGAUUUCCCCAGGGUCACACAGCUGUUAAGUGUCUGAGACCAAUUUAUCAGAAUAUCUCUGAUGAAAGACUUUUGGAGAAUGACAACAAAAAGCUUCAGAAAGAGGACUUGGGUUGAAGCCCUGAUCUACAUACAUAGUUGUCUGUCCAUUAAGGGAAAGUGUCCUUACAAAAAGAUAUCAACAGUGUGGAAUGACAGAGACCAAGGAGGACACCUGAAACUCUUAACCUGCCAGACAAGACUCAAGAUCUGGCAGAUGGUCUAUGUCAGGAGUGGACAGAGGAAUUUCUUUUCUUGUCCCUGGUGAUACUACACUACAGGUUUUGCUACACUUUACUCAAUUUCGCUUGGAG